GUUGGACAUCGGUGACUCGAACAGCAGAGCUGGGCCACGAGAGGUGGAUCCAAGACCACACACCAGUUAUCAGUUAGGGAGAAGCCUAGGUCACGAGAGUCCAUGCGUGUGGUGUGGAUGACACGUUCAGGCGUAACACAAGUAAAGAGCCACUGGAAAAGAUACGACCUGGGAAGGUCACGUUCUAGGGGUGAGCUGCAUGCAUUGCACGUGAACGGCUAGGGCGCUC
RNAcentral lists this long non-coding RNA (229 nucleotides) under Phaseolus vulgaris (common bean). RNAcentral's name for it is "long non-coding RNA (PVUL_LNC003080)". The record is from RNAcentral. Lineage: Eukaryota; Viridiplantae; Streptophyta; Magnoliopsida; Fabales; Fabaceae.